GGGGAAUAUUGCACAAUGGGCGAAAGCCUGAUGCAGCAACGCCGCGUGAGUGAUGAAGGCCUUCGGGUUGUAAAGCUCUUUGAUCAGGGAUGAUAAUGACAGUACCUGAAAAACAAGCCACGGCUAACCACGUGCCAGCAGCCGCGGUAAUACGUAGGUGGCGAGCGUUGUCCGGAAUUAUUGGGCGUAAAGGAUGCGUAGGUGGAUAUCUAAGUGGGAUGUGAAAUCCCCGGGCUCAACCCGGGAACUGCAUUCCAUACUGGAUGUCUAGAGUGCAGGAGAGGAAAGUGGAAUUCCUAGUGUAGCGGUGAAAUGCGUAGAUAUUAGGAGGAACACCAGUGGCGAAGGCGACUUUCUGGACUGUAACUGACACUGAGGCAUGAAAGCGUGGGUAGCAAAC
This 400-nucleotide ribosomal RNA is filed under the name uncultured bacterium. RNAcentral describes it as "bacterial SSU rRNA". It matches the Rfam family "Bacterial small subunit ribosomal RNA", at positions 356 to 773 of the family's 1533-position model. The record is from RNAcentral.